GUGGGGAAUAUUGGUCAAUGGGCGCGAGCCUGAACCAGCCAAGUAGCGUGAGGGAUGACUGCCCUAUGGGUUGUAAACCUCUUUUGCAGGGGGGUAAAGUGGUCCACGUGUGGGCCAUUGCAAGUAUCCUGCGAAUAAGGAUCGGCUAACUCCGUGCCAGCAGCCGCGGUAAUACGGAGGAUCCGAGCGUUAUCCGGAUUUAUUGGGUUUAAAGGGUGCGUAGGCUGGAAGGUCAGUCAGCGGUGAAAAGCUGUCGCUUAACGAUAGUCUUGCCGCAGAUACUUCCUUUCUUGGAUGAGGAGGAGGCCACUGGAACGGAUGGUGUAGCGGUGAAAUGCAUAGAUAUCAUCCAGAACACCGAUUGCGAAGGCAGGUGGCUGUACCUUAAUCGACGCUGAUGCACGAAAGCAUGGGGAGCAAACAGGAUUAGAUACCCCGGUAGUCC
RNAcentral lists this ribosomal RNA (445 nucleotides) under uncultured bacterium. RNAcentral describes it as "partial 16S ribosomal RNA". It matches the Rfam family "Bacterial small subunit ribosomal RNA", at positions 354 to 796 of the family's 1533-position model. The record is from RNAcentral.